Molecule: long non-coding RNA, 3661 nt
Organism: Lytechinus pictus (painted urchin)
Lineage: Eukaryota; Metazoa; Echinodermata; Echinoidea; Temnopleuroida; Toxopneustidae
Exons: 2
Source: RefSeq, a predicted model, not a curated record
ACGUCAUUAAGAAAGAAGUUAUGACAGGUUCGGAGGUGUCAUACAUAUUUAGUGAGGUUGUUGUACCCGAUCUUGGUCAAGAGGGCUUCGUGAAACGGUUAGCGGACAAGUAGCUCACUAUCUCCGAUUUAGUCAAGAAGUUAGACUUAUGACGGUGUUGAGAAACGGGCCCCUGGACUUGAGACGGACAAAAUAGACCUCUCCUCAGCGUCGGGCCGGACGAGAUCACGUGAUUGGGAGACUGUACGUUACCGUUGUAGAACUCGGCGACGAUUCCUCCUGACUACCGAUGUCCUGGUCAUCAUAAACACAGUCGGACCUUGGAAAAGAGUAUGACACAGCGGGUCCGGGAAGGGGAAGGGGGGGGGUGAGCGGUGGGGGUUCAGUUCUUGUCUUCCGUCCAUGUAUUUUUCAUAAAGGAAACUAAAGAGGUAACCUGGCUUCGAUCUAAAAAAAAAUAUAUAUAUUGCCAUGCAUUAUCCACACUAUGAUAGGCCCAAUGCAUCACAUAGUAUAUUUUCUUGAUAGGGAAACGUAAAAUGUCCACAAGGCUGCUAAAAGGUAUACUCUUUCCCUCGAUUUUGACAAUUGUAUGCCCUUUUCAGUACGCGAGUGGAUUACCUGAUUUUAAAUACAACCCCUUUUAAAAUGCUUUUCGGAUAGCAGGUCAUGCAAACGGUCGACUCGGGUUUAUACCAGCAUGCCUAGUAUAAACUGUAUGUAGGCCUAUCUCUUUCGGAGUUCAUCACUUCUCUUAUCACCUGCCGAAGAAAUAAACGUGAACAUGUUGAAAGAGGGGUUCUUUGUCUCUUUAUGAUUUGUUUUUGACGAGCGUCUUUUUAUCACGCGAGUGAAUGUCGCUUAUCGAUGUUUUUUGCCUUCGACAUGUUUGUUUCAUGGCUUUCCAUAAUACCACUAGUAUGAAUCGCUGUAUACGAAUCUCCGAAAUAAACCCCUACAUCGGAUGAAUCUAGUUCAAUGCCAAAGGCAGAUGACCUCUUGCUACUUACCUUGCGAGCUAUGUAUGAUCUGACUGUCGACCAACCAUGAUACAGGGAUAAUACUGCAGCAAUUGGCCUACAUGCCACAACGCAUAGAAAUAAGUUCAUUUUCGGUUCGAUAUACGACCUAAACGUGUGAACAUACCAACUUGUGUAUCAAUCAGUUCAAGUACACCGAUGACACUGAUAUAUUGUACGGAAUGGGCACCAGAGCUGAGCACAGUUAUUCCUCAAUUCAAACCAUUCAUGUAUUCAGGAUAGAAUCUUCCAAGCAUACAUCAAGAUCAAUCCAAUAUGAACCUUGAGAUUCUGGGUCCGCAGUAUUCUAUUCGACCUACGUGUUCGAUACCUACAAAAUGGCAUCAGUUAACAGACAAGGAGCCCCAUCAGUCAUGCUACAAACACAAACUUAUAAUUUGAAUUCGAAUCCCCAACGAACCCAGGGUGGAGUAUGCCAACAAUGUGGUUAUUGUUGCGCACUUUUCUGGAUAAUCAUCUCAUGUGUAUCGGUCUUCAUUGGAGUCAUAAACACUCUAGUUGGAAGCUUGAACGACGGAGCAAGCAUGACAGGCAGCAGUCUGACGUUUGGAACGUCACCUCGAGCAGUUGACCGUACUCAGCUGUACAUUGGAAUAGGUUUUUUAGUAGUUGGGGUAGUAUUGUUGGUUCUUGCUAUCAUUUGUUGCCGAAGAAUCAAGCGCAGUAGUCCUAUCCCGACUAUGUACUCCGGUGCUGCCAUGACAACAACUGUUAUACAACCUCCACCUAGUAUGCGAGCGACACGGGAUCAACAUGUCUACGUGUACUCGUCUCAACCAGCGCCACACCAAUCGGGGUCUAUUCCACGGCAUCGAUCUGAAGCAAACGAGUUCCAACCGGCUCAACCAGCUGUAAACCGGUAUCAUACUGCGGAGCCGUCGGUACCUUCUGAGGAACCACCGAAUAUACCGCCGCCGUCGUAUAAUGAAUUGAUGCAGUCCGACACAAACAAAGCAUUUCAUAGUGGAGUUAUGAUGACUGAUGUGUAAAUGAAAUAUCAUUAUAAUGAGGAAUGGUUAUAAGAAACCAUUGUAUUGACUCAAAGCUUGAUUUAAAAAAAAUCAACAAAGUUCCUUUUGGCGUAGUGAUCUAGUGGUUACGACUCUCGUCUAUCAAUCAGAGGGAGAUGGGUUCGAAUCCCAGCCAUAGAGUAUUUUCCUUUAGCAAGAAAUUUACCCACAUUACGCUGCACUGAAUUCAGGUGAGGUGAAUGGGUACCCGGCAGGAUGCGCACACGGCCUUUAGCAGCUGGCGGAAUAAACCUGGGUAAUAAUGUAGUGCGCCAUUAUUACAUCAGCAAUUGCGAGAUAAUCGGGGCCUCAUAAACGCUUUAUAUUAACAAGGUAAACAGACAGUACAGAAAACAAUCAAUGACAAUGUCUCAUCUCUGUUCCAGUAUAGUCAAGCGGCAUCACGAAGAUGCAGGAGCAGUCAUUGGAGCGUAUCCAAAAACGUGCCUGCCGGAUUAUACUGGGUCAUGAUAUACGGUACGCAGAUGCUAGAGAACACCUGAACAUACCUCCCCCCAGUGACAGAAGGUACCCUCUCCUGCUCUCUGUGUCAAGAGACCAUGCUUGACUCUUUUCCAAGCUCCACCACCUCUUGCCCCCGCGUAGUAAACACGGAUGCAACACUAGGAACACUGGCAAAUUUGUGAACAUGCGGAGCAGGACUGAAAGACUUAUAGGAAUAGUCCAAUACCCUAUCUUACACGCCUGUUAUAAAUCAAUUUUAAUGUUUAAUGUUGUGUAAUCAACUUAUUGUCAUCGGGGGGGGGGGGGGGGGGGUUAAUAACUAGUAUUUUCCAUGCUUGCAUGAAUUUGAUGGACCCCCCUCCGAGCUCUUGACGUGAAACAAUGACUAUGAUAUUUCAUUUUUACUCGAAUUGCAGAUUUUACCACUAAAGGCAUAUAAAUUGUUCCAAAUAAUAGCUUGAAUUACACAUUGUACAGCCAGCCUUAGGUAAUAAUAAUGAUAUUGACUGACUCUUCUUUCGGGAAACAUCAAAUUAAAUAUGCAUGUUGCCCUUAAAAGAACCAUAUUGCCCUCGUCUAAAGACUCGGACCAAGAUUCUGUUGCGGGCGUUAUAUUUGAUGUUCCCCUUAAGGCCAGUCAAUAUUAUAUUAUUAUUUACCAGAUAUCACCUUUUAUCCACAGAGUAUCCAAUUAAUACUCAUCAUCGGCGUUUGUUAAUCUUUAAGAAAUUUUGAAUUUUACCGUAUUCUAAUUUGAUUUGAAUAUUAACUUCAAAAUAUAUUUGCAUUCAUAUGAUUUAUUUUUCUAUGUUUCCUUUUUUGUCAUAUUUUACUUUCCAUUAUACCCAUCCUCCACCCUCCUCUGGCUUUCAGAGUCCUCUCCCUACACCCCCUUCAGCUUCUUAUGCCUAUACCACUCUGUUUCUUUUACUUGUCUAUACUUCCUUCUAGUCCUACGUUUUCUUGAUUUCUUUCUUUCUCCUUCCAUUAUUAUCAAUCUUUGUUCUUGAUUUGAAGAUGUUCUGGUUUAUUAUGUGUAUAUUUUUUGUUGUAAUGUAUUCCUAGUAUGUGAUGUAGAUUCCUACCAGUUCAGCUUUUGGCUGCCAUGUGGUUAUAAAUAAAUACCUCUUCAAAUCGGAAACGAAA